Ochotona curzoniae (black-lipped pika) is the source of this 2032-nucleotide long non-coding RNA. RefSeq lists it as uncharacterized. The transcript has 2 exons. NCBI's taxonomy places the organism in Eukaryota, Metazoa, Chordata, Mammalia, Lagomorpha, Ochotonidae. The record is from RefSeq and is a predicted model, not a curated record.
UAGAACUGUUGCGCAUAUAGGAUCCCAGCACAUGCAAGAUGAGGGCUUUAGCCACUAGGCUACAGUGCCGGGCCUGGAAAAUGGAUAUAUGUGGGCUACAGAGAACAGACUUUGAUUGGGCCCUUCUCUUUCUGUGCCUACUGAAGUUUCUGGGGGUGAUUCUCGCUUCUUCAGCUUGAAAUGUGGGAGAUAUGGAUCAAGAAGAAAACCCAGAUAAAUGCCUACCAUGUCAUUGCUUAGGUAGGAAGGUUCCUAAUUGGUCUUCUACCUUCUUCAUCGCUCAGUGUCUUCUACUAUUUGUUAUUCUUAACAGGUGGUAUGAAGAAAACAUGUGUUUUCUUCCAUUUUCCCAGAAGAUUCGGGAAAUUGAAUUUUCUUUUGUAAAAGUUAAAUGUAGAUAGUAGAGAUCAUUUCAUAUUUGUAUAAGUUGCAUACUUAAUCUAUUAUUAAAACCAUUGUGUUGUAUUUUAUGAAUAUAUAUUCUUUGCCAGUCCCCUACCAAUGAGCCAUGUAGGUUGUUUUUAGUCCUUUGCUAUAUUUUUAUUUAAAAAAGGAUUUAUGUAUGCAUUUGAAAGGCAGAGAGGGAGGCAGAAAUAGAGAGGGUUUGAUAUUCCCUUGCUGAUUUGCACUCCAAAUGGCUGGACUAGGCUAGUAGCUGGGAACUCAUCUGGAUAACCCAAAAGGGUGGCAGAGACUCAGACACUUGUGCCAUCUUGCACAUCUUUUGCAGGUGCCUUAGAGGAAGUCAGGAGGGUCAGAAUAGCUGGAUCAUGAGCUGACACCUGAAUGGGAUGCGGAUGUCACAAGCAGUGCCUCAGUCUGCAGCUCCCGCCUCAGGGUCUUGCUCUUCCAAACAGUGCUAAAUGAAUAACUUCAUAGUUAUUAGGAAUCUUCAAAGGGUUCAUGAGAAGUAGGUAUUCUAAAGAAAUUACACAUGAAUUAAAAUUUUUUUUUUGCAUCAAGUAAGCUUAUCUUUUUAGUUAGCUUUUCAUUACUUUCACUAAAAUGUCUGAGAAGAGCCAUGUAAUAGGAAAGAAGGUUUACGUCAGCUCACACCUUGCAGCUCAAGAUUGCUUGGCCGAUUAGCCUGGCAUCCAGCGGAGGUUGGUAGUCGCAGAUUCUGUGUAGAAGUGUGAUCCCAUGACAAACCAAAAAGCAGCAGGAAUAGGAUAUGUGUUAUUUUUUUGUGCCUGAUGUGGUCUCUCUAUGUAAGUGUGCUGAUAUUUGAUUGUGAGGCUCCACUUGAGCGAUCUAAACCAAUCGAUUGACUUACUAUAAUGACUUACCUUAAGCCAUGGUUGAAUCAGGCCCCUGCCUAAUUCACCAGUGGGUAACAUAAGACAUUGUGUUUAAACCUCUAUGUGAGUUUGGGGAAACCAAAUCCUGUUCAAAUUGCAGCACUUAAAUGAACUCUCUGAAUUGCGCAUGUACAUAAUAAUGUGCAUGAAGCCAAUAUGACUGAAAGAUAGAAUAUUGGGCAUAAAGUUGCUGAGUUAAAGGAUAUGUACAUUUUACACUCUGAUAGGUAAUGUAAAAUGAGCUUCCAGAGAGAUUGGUUGAUAAUUGUCCUGAUGUUAACGUAUAUAGAACCUUUUAGCAUUCCUCAAAUGGAUUUUAGUGAUGGGUUGUCGAAGGAAAAGAUUUUUUUCAGACCAAUAAUCCAGUCUUCUAGAGAUGUUUGAAUCAUGCUACGUGAGGUUUGUUUGCUGUUAGGUCUUAGAGUACUUCAUUCCUCAACGGCUCUUAACUUCCCAUUGGAGUGUGAAUUGUGCUCCUGUGGUUACUGAUGUUAAGCAUUUUCACUCAAACACAUUUCUUUUGGUUUGAACAAUGAUUUGUUCACUGAUUUAUUACUGAUUGUUCACUGAUUUAUUCCAGCCUGAGCUUUUUCCAAGGGAUUCUUCUUUUUUCUAAUUAAAUAUGAGGUGGGGAAUUCUGAUUCUGGCAGCCACGCGCAGGACUCAAAAUCCAAUGAAUCUAUAACAGACUAAUGUUUAAGUUGAUAACUUUGUGUGGCCCACGAGUGAUGUUA